CCUACGGGAGGCAGCAGUGGGGGAUAUUGCACAAUGGGGGGAACCCUGAUGCAGCGACGCCGCGUGGGUGAAGGAGCGUUUCGGCGCGUAAAGCCCUAUCGGCAGGGAAGAAGAUGACGGUACCUGACCAAGAAGCAUCGGCUAACUCCGUGCCAGCAGCCGCGGUAAUACGGGGGAUGCAAGCGUUAUCCGGAUUUAUUGGGUUUAAAGUGUGCGUAGGCUGUGAGGUAAGUCAGCGGUGAAAUGCCCCCGCUCAACGGGGUGAAGUGCCAUUGAUACUGCCUUGCUGGAAUGCGGAUGCCGUGGGAGGAAUGUGUGGUGUAGCGGUGAAAUGCAUAGAUAUCGCACAGAACACCGAUUGCGAAGGCAUCUCACGAAUCCGCGAUUGACGCUGAUGCACGAAAGCGUGGGUAUCAAACAGGAUUAGAUACCCCAGUAGUC
Molecule: ribosomal RNA, 441 nt
Filed under: uncultured bacterium
Lineage: Bacteria
Description: partial 16S ribosomal RNA
Rfam family: Bacterial small subunit ribosomal RNA
Source: RNAcentral